ACGGUCCUAAGGUAGCGAAAUUCCUUGUCGGGUAAGUUCCGACCCGCACGAAUGGCGUAACGAUGGCCACACUGUCUCCUCCUGAGACUCAGCGAAGUUGAAGUGGUUGUGAAGAUGCAAUCUACCCGCUGCUAGACGGAAAGACCCCGUGAACCUUUACUGUAGCUUUGCAUUGGACUUUGAAGUCACUUGUGUAGGAUAGGUGGGAGGCUUUGAAGCAGAGACGCCAGUCUCUGUGGAGCCGUCCUUGAAAUACCACCCUGGUGUCUUUGAGGUUCUAACCCAGACCCGUAAUCCGGGUCGGGGACCGUGCAUGGUAGGCAGUUUGACUGGGGCGGUCUCCUCCCAAAGAGUAACGGAGGAGUUCGAAGGUUACCUAGGUCCGGUCGGAAAUCGGACUGAUAGUGCAAUGGCAAAAGGUAGCUUAACUGCGAGACCGACAAGUCGAGCAGGUGCGAAAGCAGGACAUAGUGAUCCGGUGGUUCUGUAUGGAAGGGCCAUCGCUCAACGGAUAAAAGGUACUCCGGGGAUAACAGGCUGAUUCCGCCCAAGAGUUCAUAUCGACGGCGGAGUUUGGCACCUCGAUGUCGGCUCAUCACAUCCUGGGGCUGUAGUCGGUCCCAAGGGUAUGGCUGUUCGCCAUUUAAAGUGGUACGUGAGCUGGGUUUAAAACGUCGUGAGACAGUUUGGUCCCUAUCUGCAGUGGGCGUUGGAAGUUUGACGGGGGCUGCUCCUAGUACGAGAGGACCGGAGUGGACGAACCUCUGGUGUACCGGUUGUAACGCCAGUUGCAUAGCCGGGUAGCUAAGUUCGGAAGAGAUAAGCGCUGAAAGCAUCUAAGCGCGAAACUCGCCUGAAGAUGAGACUUCCCUUGUGGUUUAACCACACUAAAGAGUCGUUCGAGACCAGGACGUUGAUAGGUGGGGUGUGGAAGCGCGGUAACGUGUGAAGCUAACCCAUACUAAUUGCUCGUGAGGCUUGACUCU
This 986-nucleotide ribosomal RNA is filed under the name human oral metagenome. RNAcentral describes it as "bacterial LSU rRNA". It matches the Rfam family "Bacterial large subunit ribosomal RNA", at positions 1945 to 2925 of the family's 2925-position model. The record is from RNAcentral.